Molecule: ribosomal RNA, 799 nt
Filed under: uncultured bacterium
Lineage: Bacteria
Description: bacterial SSU rRNA
Rfam family: Bacterial small subunit ribosomal RNA
Source: RNAcentral
AGAGUUUGAUCAUGGCUCAGAACGAACGCUGGCGGCGCGUUUUAAGCAUGCAAGUCGAACGGGAUUUCGGUGCUUGCACCGGAUGAGAGUGGCGAACGGGUGAGUAACGCGUAGAUGAUCUGCCCUUUAGUUGGGGAUAACCCAUGGAAACAUGGGAUAAUACCGAAUGAGCUCUGUGAUUCGAUUUGCAGAGGAAAGCGGCUUUGGCCGCGCUGAAGGAUGAGUCUGCGUAUGAUUAGCUAGUUGGUGGGGUAAAGGCCUACCAAGGCGACGAUCAUUAGCCGGCCUGAGAGGGUGACCGGCCACAUUGGGACUGAGACACGGCCCAGACUCCUACGGGAGGCAGCAGCUAAGAAUCUUCCGCAAUGGACGCAAGUCUGACGGAGCGACGCCGCGUGGACGAAGAAUGCCGAGAGGUUGUAAAGUCCUUUUCUUUCAGAAGAAUAACCGGAGGAGGGAAUGCCUCUGGGAUGACGUUAUGAGAGGAAUAAGCUCCGGCCAAUUACGUGCCAGCAGCCGCGGUAACACGUAAGGAGCGAGCGUUGUUCGGAAUUAUUGGGCGUAAAGGGCCCGUAGGCGGUUAUAUAAGUCUGAUGUGAAAGACAGCAGCUCAACUGCAGGAACGCAUUGGAAACUGUAUGACUUGAAUCCUGGAGGGGGGUACUGGAAUUCCUGGUGUAGGGGUGAAAUCUGUUGAUAUCAGGAAGAACACCGGAGGCGAAGGCGAGUACCUGGACAGUGAUUGACGCUGAGGGGCGAAAGCGUAGGGAGCAAACAGGAUUAGAUACCCUAGUAGUCC